GCUGGGCAUGGUGGCGGGCGCCUGUGAUCCCAGCUACUAGGGAGGCUGAGGCAGGAGAAUGGAGUGAACCUGGGAGGCAGAGGUUGCAGUGAGCCGAGAUUGCGCCACUGCACUCCAGCCUGGCGACAGAGUGAGACUCCAUCUCAAACAAACAAAAAAAAGUGCCUAUUUUUUUUUUUUUUUUUUUUUUGAGGCGGAGUCUCGCUCUGUAGCCCGGGCUGGAGUGCAGUGGCCGGAUCUCAGCUCGCUGCAAGCUCCGCCUCCCAGGUUUACGCCAUUCUCCUGCCUCAG
RNAcentral lists this signal recognition particle RNA (291 nucleotides) under Macaca mulatta (Rhesus monkey). RNAcentral's name for it is "Metazoan signal recognition particle RNA (ENSMMUG00000052545.1)". It matches the Rfam family "Metazoan signal recognition particle RNA". From Rfam's summary of the family: The signal recognition particle (SRP) is a universally conserved ribonucleoprotein. It is involved in the co-translational targeting of proteins to membranes. The eukaryotic SRP consists of a 300-nucleotide 7S RNA and six proteins: SRPs 72, 68, 54, 19, 14, and 9. Lineage: Eukaryota; Metazoa; Chordata; Mammalia; Primates; Cercopithecidae. The record is from Rfam by way of RNAcentral.